CGCCCCGUGACUAACACAUGCUCACUGUGGGCAAGCAGGAGGGAGACCUCCAGGGACGACAUGGAGGAUGGCGAAGGCUUACUGGAGCAGAACCUUGUGAGUAAGAGGAAAGUCAUGAGGCUUGCUGGGCCUCCCCAGGUUUCGUUGGGGCUCCUGAGGUCAACACUCAGGAUACAAUCCUUCCAUCACUGACUCUGCACCUGGAGUGCCUCCCCCUUUCCAUCUGGCAGCCGCUCUUCUUGGCAAAGUGGGCUGUGAGUUGACAGAGUAAAUGGACGUCCCACCGAAGGACUUCUGUAUGAUGUUACAGUGGAGGCACCAGAAGUUAGGGAUCACAUGUCAAGAGGUCAGUAUGUGUACGGUAUGCUCAAGUCACACCAAGGAGUCACAAAAGACACGUGUUGAUGGAAGACACGGAACUGGGAACAAGAGCAGGAGACAGGACACCUGAGAGGCACAGGAGUGGAGAAAGAGCAGAUGACAAUGUGUCGGGGAGACAGCGCUGCAAGCUGAGGACCCGACCUUGGGAGAAACAGCCCUGCAGGCCUCCGUCUCAGACUUCAGCCUCCAGGACCAGAAAUACAAUUGGCUCAUUAUUCAAGCCUCUUAGUCUAUGCUUGCAUGUGAUGACAGGCCUAGCAAAUAAUGCACAUGAAAUGACCCUGUCGAGCACAUGGCGUAGGUGGGUGUAUGGAGAAGUCAGAAGUUAGCCUCCGGAUUCAUUUCUCGGGAUCUACCCACCUUGCUUUUGACACUGGAUGGCCAGACGGCCCCAAGGAUCUGCUGGGGUUUGCUUCCCUAGCACUGGGGGUUGUGAGCAUGUGCUAACAUGCCUGCCCUUUCACUGUGGGUUCUCGGUAUUGAACUCAGUUCUCAUGCUUGCAAGGCAAGCACUUUACCAACUAUGCUGCCUCCCCAGGCCCCAAGCCAUUGUGUUUCAGAGCUAUUUGCUAUGUAAUGAUAGUAACUGAUAAGUGUUGAACAUCAGGACACUCAGGAGUAAAGCCUGGGGAUUUGGGGUUCUGUCCCCCCCGCACCCCAUCGCCGCCUUGUCAGUGCCUCCCUGAAUUGUCUUGGCCUACUCUUUGAUUUAUAA
Mus musculus (house mouse) is the source of this 1096-nucleotide long non-coding RNA. RefSeq annotates it as predicted gene, 32723. The record is from RefSeq and is a predicted model, not a curated record. The transcript is spliced from 4 exons. NCBI's taxonomy places the organism in Eukaryota, Metazoa, Chordata, Mammalia, Rodentia, Muridae.